RNAcentral lists this unclassified non-coding RNA (253 nucleotides) under Stereocaulon intermedium. RNAcentral's name for it is "partial contains 5.8S ribosomal RNA, internal transcribed spacer 2, and large subunit ribosomal RNA". Lineage: Eukaryota; Fungi; Ascomycota; Lecanoromycetes; Lecanorales; Stereocaulaceae. The record is from RNAcentral.
CGCACAUUGCGCCCCUCGGAAUUCCGGGGGGCAUGCCUGUUCGAGCGUCAUUGCACCCCUCAAGCGUCAGCUUGGUCCUGAACCUCGCCCCUUUCCCGGGGGGCGUGUUUGAAAACGAGCGGCGAUCCGGUGGGACUUCAAGCGCAGUAAAACCUCCUCGCUUUGGAAGCUUCCCCCCGGGGCCUGCCCAUAACCGACCAUUACCAUCCUGACAAUUGACCUCGGAUCAGGUAGGGAUACCCGCUGAACUUAA